GAUGAAGAACGUAGCGAAAUGCGAUAAGUAAUGUGAAUUGCAGAAUUCAGUGAAUCAUCGAAUCUUUGAACGCACAUUGCGCCCGCCAGUAUUCUGGCGGGCAUGCCUGUCUGAGCGUCAUUUCAACCCUCAUGCCCCUAGGGCGUGGUGUUGGGGAUCGGCCAAAGCCCGCGAGGGACGGCCGGCCCCUAAAUCUAGUGGCGGACCCGUCGUGGCCUCGUCUGCGAAGUAGUGAUAUUCCGCAUCGGAGAGCGACGAGCCCCUGCCGUUAAACCCCCAACUUUCCAAGGUUGACCUCAGAUCAGGUAGGAAUACCCGCUGAACUUAAGCAUAUCAAUAAGCGGAGGA
This 348-nucleotide unclassified non-coding RNA is filed under the name soil metagenome. Its description in RNAcentral is "partial contains 5.8S ribosomal RNA, internal transcribed spacer 2, and large subunit ribosomal RNA". The stretch from base 1 to 120 matches the Rfam family "5.8S ribosomal RNA", at positions 35 to 154 of the family's 154-position model. The record is from RNAcentral.